GUAAUAAAGACAAUUCAUCUUGCUAAUACUGAUGAGUUUAUAUCUCAACUUUUAUUGAUUGAGUUUGAAAAACUUUUGUAAAAGUUUGCGGCAUAAUUGUUUAGAGAAAUUAUUGAUUAAACAGAUCUAAAUUGUAAUACCUCAAUUUUGCCCGGCCCAUUGGAAGCCAAGGCAUAAUCCAAAAUUUCAAAAUAUAAAGUCUCUUAACAGUCCUUUACCCAAAUACAAAAGCCAAAACGGCAGGCCCAAAUACAAGAGACCUUACCCAGUUACAAUAACCAGCAGGCCCACUAUUACAUCCUACCCAGAUACACUAAAACUAAGACUCAUUAUGUAACACCCCGUACCCGAGACCGUUGCCGGAGUCGGACACGAGGGGUUCACAGACUAAGUUCACUUACUAUUGCAGUCCAUUUUAAAAUUUUUCUAGGCAGUCGGCUAACUGCGUCACUGUCACCUUAAAAAUCAUAUCUUGAGUUUCACAACUCGAAAAUCAGUUUCGUGAUUUUUCCCUGAAACUAGACUCAUAUGCCCAUCUACAUAUUUUUUUCUAGAAUUUUUGGUUGGGCCAAUUAAUACAGUUUAUUAGUCAAAGUCUCCCAUGUUACAGGGAUCGACUACACUGACCUUUGCGCAUUACGACUUGGAUAUCUCCCUGCACAGAGCUUCAAUACUGAUGCCGUUUGUUUCUAUAGAAACUAGACUUAGAGAGGAAUCUAUACAUAUAUGGCAUGACUCCUAAUUAUCUCUGGUUAAUUUGUAAUAAAUUUCCAAAUUCGGAACAGGGAGUCCAGAACCCGUUCUGGCCCUGUCUCACGAGAACCUGAAUAUCUCUUAACAUACUGUCCAUAUGAUCGUUUAGUUACUUUCCUAUGAAAAUAGAUUCAUUAAGGUUCGUUUACAUAAUUUAUUCAAUAUUUAAUUCCAAUCCUACUAUUUUUAGUGAUUUUCCAAAUCUACAUCACUGUUGCUGCCAGCAUCUGCCUUUAGGGUAGACUUUACCUACUUCAUAGUUUCCAUGAUUCAACUAGCCCUUUUAGCAUAAAUAGCACAAAUUAUGAUAGUGAUUAACCAUUCCAUACCAAAUGAUUAUAACAUUAUGCUCAAACAUAUAUAAGCCAUUUUCGCAUGGCUAUAUACAUUAACCAAAAUAUUCCUCCGCCACUAGUCUAUUUUAUACAUGCCAUAAGAUAAUCCAAAACAUAGCAGUACCAAACAGUGGAUAGUGAUAGUGUGACUAGUUGCUGACGAUCCCCGAGCCUGUAGCUUCGCAAUGAGAUCUAUAAAACAGAGGAAACAGAGUAAACGGAGUAAGCAUUACAAUACUUAGUAAGUUUUAAGCAGUGUCAACAGAUAACAAUCAAAUUAUAACAUAGUUGUUCGUAUUUUUAUUUCACUCUUCCUUCGGGCAUACCAUCCCUUUACCGAAUACGCACAUCUCAUAGAUUGCUCUCGUAUGCAUCACAUAACUACCUUAUGAUUUAGUGCAAAUCAAGCUCACAUAUAAACUUGGAGUACAUACUUGUUUAACCUUUCGCAUUGAAUAUAUUUAUAAGCAAUUCUUAUUACGAAGUCUUACCCGGACAUAAUCUCCACACGAAGUUAUCGGGUCUUACCCAGACAAAAUCCCCACACGUAGUCAUCGGGUCUUUAGAGCUCGGAUAUAGUACGAGCACGAAGCUUACGGAUAUUAAUCAGUGAUAAUAUUCUCGCAUAAAGCCUGCGGGGUUUUAACCCGGAUAUAGUACUGACACAAAUGCCCUUCGGGACUUAUCACAUUUAUACACUUUCACAUCCAUCACGUUGGCCACUCGGCCCUGUCACAUAUAUAUACUUUCACAUUCAUCACAUCGGCCACUAGGCCUUAUCACAUAUAUACACUUUCGCAUUCAUCACAUCGGCCAUUAGGCCCUAUCACAUAUAUAUACACUUUCACAUUCAUCACAUCGGCCAUUAGGCCCUAUCACAUAUAUAUACACUUUCACAAUCAUCACAUCGGCCAUUAGGCCUUAUCUCAUAUAUACACUUUCACAUUCAUCACAUCGGCCAUUAGGCCUUAUCACAUAUAUAUACUUUCACAUUCAUCACAUCGGCCAUUAGGCCUUAUCACAUAUAUACACUUUCACAUUCAUCACAUCGGCCAUUAGGCCCCAUCACAUAUAUAUACACUUUCACAUUCAUCACAUCGGCCAUUAGGCCCUAUCACAUAUAUAUACACUUUCACAUUCAUCACAUCGGCCAUUAGGCCUUAUCUCAUAUAUACACUUUCACAUUCAUCACAUCGGCCAUUAGGCCUUAUCACGUAUAUAUACACUUUCACAUUCAUCACAUCGGCCAUUAGGCCUUAUCUCAUAUAUACACUUUCACAUUCAUCACAUCGGCCAUUAGGCCUUAUCACGUAUAUACACUUUCACAUUCAUCACAUCGGCCAUUAGGCCUUAUCUCAUAUAUACACUUUCACAUUCAUCACAUCGGCCAUUAGGCCUUAUCACGUAUAUACACUUUCACAUUCAUCACAUCGGCCAUUAGGCCUUAUCACAUAUAUAUACACUUUCACAUUCAUCACAUCGGCCAUUAGGCCUUAUCACGUAUAUACAGUUUCACAUUCAUCACAUCGGCCAUUAGGCCUUAUCACAUAUAUAUACACUUUCACAUUCAUCACAUCGGCCAUUAGGCCUUAUCACAUAUAUACACUUUCACGUUCAUCACAUCGGCCAUUAGGCCUUACUAUCAUUUCAUAUUCGAAUACUCAUAAACUUACAAUACCACGAUUUAGAAUUCAAGUAUGGGUUUAAUCAAUAGCUUAUGAGCAACUAAAACAAGUUUAUCAAGGUUCACAACAUAAUCUCAAAUUCAGCACAAGCUGUUUUUCCUGAGUAAUAGUCACUAAAUUAUUUAUAACUGGAGGUACAAAACUCCAAAUCACUUUCCAUUAAUUUUUCCUGAAUAUAGACUCAUAUAUCUUCCAUCCAUAAAAUUUCCAGAAUUUUAGGUUUGGCCAAUCAAUACCAGAGUUUUCUUAAAGUUUCCCCUGUUUCACUGUUUGACUAAUCUGACCACUCUUCACUACGAAUCAAAUUUCUCAUUUUACAGAAUUCGAAAUGUGUUGUAUUUGAUUUCAUUUGAAACUAGACUCAUUAAGGAGUCUAAGCAUAUAAAUUUUAUCUUAUAACCAUUUUUGUACAAUUUAUAAUGAUUUUCUAAAAACAGAACAGAGGAUUACAGUGUCAUUCUGCGCUGUCUCACACAACUUUAAGUAUCUCAUUAUCGGAAAUUCCUUUGCUUACACAGUUUCUUUUAUAAGAAACUAGACUCAUUAAGCUUUAAUUUCAUGUCUCAAUCAGCCUCUAAUUAAAGUUCAUGAAUUUAUGGUGAUUUUCUAAAGUCACGUUACUGCUGCUGUCCGAAGCAGACUAUUUCAAAUUACCCUUAAAUUCCCAAGCUCAAACACUUAAGAACUUACCAUUUGAGCUUAGAACAUAUCAUGGCCACAUCUUAUCUUAUUAAAUCAACUCAUCAUGUCCUAUUAUAAUUGAAUUUACUCAACGUUUAAACACUUAAAACUUACCUCGGAUGUUGUUGAACGAUUUCGGCGGCUAUUCGAUCACUUUUUCCUUUCCUUUAUCCAACUUUGGUCCUCUAAGCUCUUGAGCUUAAUUGAGUAAAUUAAGUAUAUCAACUUCAUAUACUUCACUUAAUCAAAGCAAGAAAUACAAUUAUCCUCACUAUCUCACACAUAUACGUUCAGUCAAUCAUUACUAUGUUACAAGUCAAGCCUAACUUAGGCUAGAUCGAACAUAUAUAAUCUUUUAACUCAAUUUACGAAUCAAGACAUAUUAGUUAUCAAAGGUUGACCAUGAUACACAUAGUGAGCUCCAUUUUUUUAACUCACAUUCGGCACAUAAAAACAUACACAAAAUUUUCCACACAAGCUAGUAUUUUAGCAAUUAAUAUGACACAAGUUAAACCAAAAGUUUACAAUAACAUUACAAGGUACAUACAUAGGGUCCAUAUACAUGUUUAUUUUAAAACACCACCCUUUAAACCCUCUAGCUCUACUUACAAAAGACUCUCGUAACUAAAAUCCAUAAGUCAUCCAAUUCCACCAUUUCAAUAAGUAUUUUAUACCAAAUCUAAUAACUAAAUGUCAUUAAUGAGAUUCAUACCAAGACCGAAUAUUCAUUAACAACCAAAGCAUAUAUUCAACAAUUUAACAAUGUGUUUAACCUCCAUGGCCGAAUAGAUCCUUUCUAUUCCAUUUAACUACCAUAAAUUUAAAAUAUUUAAAUCAAGUUCAUGAGUUUCUAAUUUCAUUACUUCAACCAUUCAAAGCCUAUCUAAUUUCUCAAAUAGAUUUCUAAUACAAGAAUUAAGCCAACCUACUAAUCUUGACACCCACAUUCGGCAAGUGACCACACACACACUCUCAUAACCGAAUUUCCAUACUACUAAAACCUCUAUACACAUAUUCCCCUUAUUCAUCUUCAAUUUAAGCUCCCAACUCAUAAAACAUAAGGAAUAGAAAUCAUCUUCUAAGUUUCCUACCUUAACCGCAUGCCCAAAUCACCACAAGGAUCAAAAUUCACACAUGGGCUCAAUCAAAGACCUAUCCAUCAACUAAAAUUUCAUAAAAUCUCAAAGAAUUUACCUAAAACUUACCUUAAUUAAGCAAGUAGAAGACCGAAUGGCUAGCUUCUUCCCUCCUCCUCUCAAUCCGGCCAAGAAGAACCAAAGAACACAACUUGUUUCCUUUCCUCCUUAGAACAUUCGGCCAAAGAUGUUCAAGGAUGAACACUUUUUUUUUUCUUUGUUUCCUUUCUUCCAUUCAUGGAAAAGGGGGGGGGCAUGGAUGAGACCAUUUUUUUUUCAUCACUCCACCUUUUUGCAGUACUUUAAUCCUAACCCCCUUUUUUUUAUUCUUUCUAACAUAACUCACUAACACAACAUGUUUGCAACAUGUUUCCACCCAUAGCAUGGCCGGCCACUAUGCUUUAAUUUUGGGUAAUUUGACAUGCAAACCCAUCAUUUCACAACAUGCAUUAUUAGGCCACUUUACAUUUGCCUAGCACAUUUCCAAAUUUUCUCACAUAAGUCCUAUUUGAUAAAAUUCACUUACUAUUAACAAAAUUCAAACAUGAAAUUUUCACACAUGCAUAUGUACAUAUAAUAAGCAUCAACUAUGACGGUUAAUUAUCUUUAUAACUCGGUUUAGUGGUCUCGAAACCACUUUCCGACUAGGGUCACUUUAGGGGUGUUACAACUCUUCCCCCCUUUAGGGAUUUUCGUCCUCGAAAAUUUCUACCGAUGCAUAGUUUAGGAUAACGUCCUCUUAUUGAAUUAUAUCCAUAUAAACAUUAGCUCAUCGAUAGCAAUUGUAAUUCAUUACUGAUUUCGCAUCGAUCCAUAAAAUCAUUUUCUUAUCUUAAAACAAAUACAUAAACAUUUCUACAAGUAUGCACAUAUUAACAUGUAUAAUUCACAUCAUCAACCCACAUAUUUGUAACCCACAUUUUCAUUCAUGAAUAAGCUGUAACCUAACCGAAAGUACACAUAUACUCAAACAUCCCAAUAAAUAUCCUUUAUAACUUUAUCACAUCUCAAUAUUCAACUAAACUCAUUUCCAAAGGAAAAGUCAACUUCCACGUACCUGAACAUUUAGUUCAUUUAGCACAUUCAAUCAUAGUUAACGUUACCCGUAUAUAGUCGAAUAGGCAUAAAGCCUAAUAUAAUACACUGGCAUGAGAUUUAUUCUAGCGCAUAACUCGUAUAUCCAAAAUUAUCAACAUUCAUCAAAAAUUCUUUCAAACUUUCGAAUGUCGAAACUUAAUCAAAAUAAUUUCUUGAACAAGAUUAACAAAAUAGUGUCCAUUCAGCAAUAGCACAUAUAGCUCUUACAAUGCCAUAUCCUAGAUAUGGUCUUACAUAUUCUCACAUAUCGAGCCGAUGCCAUGUCCCAGACAUGGUCUUACACACUAUCUCAAAUCAAUGCCUUCGUCCCAAACGAGGUCUUACAUGAAUUCCACUUCACACACUUAGUGCCCACUGACCGAUCUCGCACUCAUAGUGCUCGGUUAAAGGAAUUCACACACACACAGUGCCUCUAAUUAUUCACAUACAUAGUGCUCUUAUUCAUUCGUUAAUACACAUUGAUAUGACUUAACCAAGUCUAUAAACAUCAUGUAUGUACACUUUUAAACAUAUCAUCUCAUUUAAAUUUGAAUUCGUAUAGUAAUGAAUACUUAAAACUUUGCUCAACUUACCGGCACGAAGCCUACUAGGCACGAAGGCCCGAAUACACGUCACCAGCAUGAUUGCUCUUCGGGACCUAGCCCGGAUAUAACGCCAGCACGAAUGCUCUUCGGAACUUAGCCCGGAUACAUCACUAGCAUGAAUGCUCUUCGGGACUUAGCCCAGAUACAUCACUAGCAUGAAUGCUCUUUGGGACUUAGCCCGGAUUUAGUAACUCGCACCAAUGCCUUCGGGCUUAGCCCGGAAUUAGUAUCUCGCACAAAUGCCUUCGGAUCUUAGUUCGGAUAUGGUCACUUAGCACAAAGCCUUCGGGACUUAGCCCGGACAUCAUUCAAAUAACCAUGCACAUUUAACAAUAAAUCAUGACACAUUCGUAUUUCAUUUUCAUUAGCAAAAAUCAAACACAAGACACUUAUCAUUCUUGCAAUUUCGGCUCAAUAGCCACAGACAAAGAGCAUGAUUUUGAUUUGCUUAAAACAUGAUCUAAUCAAAUCAUAAUUUAAGCUCUAUUACUCAAGGACUUACCCCUUUCCGCUGUCCGAAAUUGACUCGGUAAGGUCGCACCCUUAAUAUAAAUAAUUGAUAGAAAAUAUAUAUAUAGUGGGUUUGCACACAUAGUGCUUAAUAAUCAACCACGCACACUUAGUGCCAUGUACUUUAAACUCGCACACUUAGUGCCAUGCAUUUCAAGCCCGCACACUUAGUGCCAAUCUCACAACCGUGAACACUUAUUGCCCGCACACUUAGUGCCAAUCUCACAACCGUGAACACUUAUUGCCCGCACACUUAGUGCUGAAAACCAACCACUCUAUACGCUUCACUGCCUUUUUACAUUCGACAAUUUCGUCUCUACAUACAUAUACACAUAUAGCAAUACACAUUAGUAUAUCAUUUACAUUACUUGAAUACAAACACAACAUGCUUAUCGACCAUUCAACUUCCAGUUCCAUAGCCACAUACAAAAAUCACAUUUAUAGUCAUAACACUCUUUCAAAAUUGCAUCACUUAUACCCUUAUAAUUCAAUCCAAAUCGAACUUCAAAUACGAGUACAUGAUACGUACCUGAUCAACUUAAUAAUUUAGGCAUAUCUAAGUGAAGUUAUAUCGCAAAUUCUCAUAGUCAGAAGCUUGCUACAGCUCGAUCGGGAUCAAGAUUCAUUGCAAUACAGCAAACACAUUUUAAUAGCCAAAAAUCAUCACACUAUCAUUUUAUCACUUUAUGGCAUGUAUAAAUAGACUCACGCGUGCUACGUUAGUCCUAGAAUCGACUAAACCGUAGCUCUGAUACCAAUAAAAUUGUAACACCCCGUACCCGAGACUGUUGCCGGAGUCGGACACGAGGGGUUCACAGACUAAGUUCGCUUACUAUUGCAGUCCAUUUUAAAAUUUUUCCAGGCAGUCGGCUAACUACGUCACUGUCACCUUAAAAAUUAUAUCUUGAGUUUCACAACUCGAAAAUCAGUUUUGUGAUUUUUCCCUGAAAUUAGACUCAAAUGCCCAUAUACAUAUUUUUUUCUAGAAUUUUUGGUCAGGCCAAUUAAUACAGUUUAUUAUUCAAAGUCUCCCAUGUUACAGGGAUCGACUACACUGACCUUUGCGCAUUACGACUUGGAUAUCUCCCUGCACAGAGCUUCAAUACUGAUGCCGUUUGUUUCUAUAGAAACUAGACUCAGAGAGGAAUCUAUACAUAUAUCGCAUGACUUCUAAUUAUCUCUGGUUAAUUUGUAAUAAAUUUCCAAAUUCGGAACAGGGAGUCCAGAACCCCUUCUGGCCCUGUCUCACGAGAACCUGAAUAUCUCUUAACAUACUGUCCAUAUGAUCGUUUCGUUACUUUCCUAUGAAAAUAGAUUCAUUAAGGUUCGUUUACAUAAUUUAUUCAUUAUUUAAUUCCAAUCCUACUAUUUUUAGUGAUUUUCCAAAUAUACAUCACUGCUGCUGCCAGCAUCUGCCUUUAGGGUAGACUUUACCUACUUCAUAGUUUCCAUGAUUCAACUAGCCCUUUUAGCAUAAAUAGCACAAAUUAUGAUAGUGAUUAACCAUUCCAUACCAAAUGAUUAUAACAUUAUGCUCAAACAUAUAUAAGCCAUUUUCGCAGGGCUAUAUACAUUAACCAAAAUAUUCCUCCGCCACUAGUCUAUUUUAUACAUGCCAUAAGAUAAUCCAAAACAUAGCAGUACCAAACAGUGGAUAGUGAUAGUGUGACUAGUUGCUGACGAUCCCCGAGCCUGUAGCUUCGCAAUGAGAUCUAUAAAACAGAGGAAACAGAGUAAACGGAGUAAGCAUUACAAUGCUUAGUAAGUUUUAAGCAGUGUCAACAGCUAACAAUCAAAUUAUAACAUAGUUGUUCGUAUUUUUAUUUCACUCUUCCUUCGGGCAUACCAUCCCUUUACCGAAUACGCACAUCUCAUAGAUUGCUCUCGUAUGCAUCACAUAACUACCUUAUGAUUUAGUGCAAAUCAAGCUCACAUAUAAACUUGGAGUACAUACCUAUUUAACCUUUCACAUUGAAUAUAUUUAUAAGCAAUUCUUAUUACGAAGUCUUACCCGGACAUAAUCUCCACACGAAGUUAUCGGGUCUUACCCGGACAAAAUCCCCACACGUAGUCAUCGGGUCUUUAGAGCUCGGAUAUAGUACGAGCACGAAGCUUACGGACAUUAAUCAGUGAUAAUAUUCUCGCAUAAAGCCUGCGGGGUUUUAACCCGGAUAUAGUACUGACACAAAUGCCCUUCGGGACUUAUCACAUUUAUACACUUUCACAUCCAUCACGUUGGCCACUCGACCCUGUCACAUAUAUACUUUCACAUUCAUCACAUCGGCCAUUAGGCCUUAUCACAUAUAUACACUUUCGCAUUCAUCACAUCGGCCAUUAGGCCCUAUCACAUAUAUAUACACUUUCACAUUCAUCACAUCGGCCAUUAGGCCCUAUCACAUAUAUAUACACUUUCACAUUCAUCACAUCGGCCAUUAGGCCUUAUCUCAUAUAUACACUUUCACAAUCAUCACAUCGGCCAUUAGGCCUUAUCACGUAUAUACACUUUCACAUUCAUCACAUCGGCCAUUAGGCCUUAUCACAUAUAUAUACUUUCACAUUCAUCACAUCGGCCAUUAGGCCUUAUCACAUAUAUACACUUUCACAUUCAUCACAUCGGCCAUUAGGCCCCAUCACAUAUAUAUACACUUUCACAUUCAUCACAUCGGCCAUUAGGCCCUAUCACAUAUAUAUACACUUUCACAUUCAUCACAUCGGCCAUUAGGCCUUAUCUCAUAUAUACACUUUCACAUUCAUCACAUCGGCCAUUAGGCCUUAUCACGUAUAUAUACACUUUCACAUUCAUCACAUCGGCCAUUAGGCCUUAUCUCAUAUAUACACUUUCACAUUCAUCACAUCGGCCAUUAGGCCUCAUCACGUAUAUACACUUUCACAUUCAUCACAUCGGCCAUUAGGCCUGAUCUCAUAUAUACACUUUCACAUUCAUCACAUCGGCCAUUAGGCCUUAUCACGUAUAUACACUUUCACAUUCAUCACAUCGGCCAUUAGGCCUUAUCACAUAUAUAUACACUUUCACAUUCAUCACAUCGGCCAUUAGGCCUUAUCACGUAUAUACACUUUCACAUUCAUCACAUCGGCCAUUAGGCCUUAUCACAUAUAUAUACACUUUCACAUUCAUCACAUCGGCCAUUAGGCCUUAUCACAUAUAUACACUUUCACGUUCAUCACAUCUGCCAUUAGGCCUUACUAUCAUUUCAUAUUCGAAUACUCAUAAACUUACAAUACCACGAUUUAGAAUUCAAGUAUGGAUUUAAUCAAUAGCUUAUGAGCAACUAAAACAAGUUUAUCAAGGUUCACAACAUAAUCUCAAAUUCAGCACAAGCUGUUUUUCCUGAGCAAUAGUCACUAAAUUAUUUAUAACUGGAGGUAAAAAACUCCAAAUCACUUUCCGCUAAUUUUUCCUGAAUAUAGACUCGUAUAUCUUCCAUCCAUAAAAUUUCCAGAAUUUUAGGUUUGGCCAAUCAAUACCAGAGUUUUCUUAAAGUUUCCCCUGUUUCACUAUUUGAGUAAUCUGACCACUCUUCACUACGAAUCAAAUUUCUCAUUUUACAGAAUUAGAAAUGUGUUGUAUUUGAUUUCAUUUGAAACUAGACUCAUUAAGGAGUCUAAGCAUAUAAAUUUUAUUUUAUAACCAUUUUUGUACAAUUUAUAAUGAUUUUCUAAAAACAGAACAGAGGAUUACAGUGUCAUUCUGCGCUGUCUCACACAACUUUAAGUAUCUCAUUAUCGGAAAUUCCUUUGCUUACACGGUUUCUUUUAUAAGAAACUAGACUCAUUAAGAUUUAAUUUCAUGUCUCAAUCAGCCUCUAAUUCAAUUCCAUGAAUUUAUGGUAAUUUUCUAAAAUCACGUUACUGCUGCUGUCCGAAGCAGACUAUUUCAAAUUACCCUUAAAUUUCCAAGCUCAAACACUUAAGAACUUACCAUUUGAGCUUAGAACAUAUCAUGGCCACAUCUUAUCUUAUUAAAUCAACUCAUCAUGUCCUAUUAUAAUUGAAUUUACUCAACGUUUAAACACUUAAAACUUACCUCGGAUGUUGUUGAACGAUUUCGGCAGCUAUUCGAUCACUUUUUCCUUUCCUUUAUCCAACUUUGGUCCUCUAAGCUCUUGAGCUUAAUUGAGUAAAUUAAGUAUAUCAACUUCAUAUACUUCACUUAAUCAAAGCAAGAAAUACAAUUAUCCUCACUAUCUCACACAUAUACGUUCAGUCAAUCAUUACUAUGUUACAAGUCUAGCCUAACUUAGGCUAGAUUGAACAUAUAUAAUCUUUUAACUCAAUUUACGAAUCAAGACAUAUUAGUUAUCAAAGGUUGACCAUGAUACACAUAGUGAGCUCCAUUUUUUUAACUCACAUUCGGCACAUAAAAACAUACACAAAAUUUUCCACACAAGCUAGUAUUUUAGCAAUUAAUAUGACACAAGUUAAACCAAAAGUUUACAAUAACAUUACAAGGUACAUACAUAGGGUCCAUAUACAUGUUUAUUUUAAAACACCACCCUUUAAACCCUCUAGCUCUACUUACAAAAGACUCUCAUAACUAAAAUCCAUAAGUCAUCCAAUUCCACCAUUUCAAUAAGUAUUUUAUACCAAAUCUAAUAACUAAAUGUUAUUAAUGAGAUUCAUACCAAGACCGAAUAUUCAUUAACAACCAAAGCAUAUAUUCAACAAUUUAACAAUGUGUUUAACCUCCAUGGCCGAAUAGAUCCUUUCUAUUCCAUUUAACUACCAUAAAUUUAAAAUAUUUAAAUCAAGUUCAUGAGUUUCUAAUUUCAUUACUUCAACCAUUCAAAGCCUAUCUAAUUUCUCAAAUAGAUUUCUAAUACAAGAAUUAAGCCAACCUACUAAUCUUGACACCCACAUUCGGCAAGUGACCACACACACACUCUCAUAACCGAAUUUCCAUACUACUAAAACCUCUAUACACAUAUUCCCCUUAUUCAUCUUCAAUUUAAGCUCCCAACUCAUAAAACAUAAGGAAUAGAAAUCAUCUUCUAAGUUUCCUACCUUAACCGCAUGCCCAAAUCACCACAAGGAUCAAAAUUCACACAUGGGCUCAAUCAAAGACCUAUCCAUCAACUAAAAUUUCAUAAAAUCUCAAAGAAUUUACCUAAAACUUACCUUAAUUAAGAAAGUAGAAGACCGAAUGGCUAGCUUCUUCCCUCCUCCUCUCAAUCCGGCCAAGAAGAACCAAAGAACACAACUUGUUUCCUUUCCUCCUUAGAACAUUCGGCCAAAGAUGUUCAAGGAUGAACACUUUUUUUUUCUUUGUUUCCUUUCUUCCAUUCACGGCAAAGGGGGGGGGGCAUGGAUGAGACCAUUUUUUUUUCAUCACUCCACCUUUUUGCAUUACUUUAAUCCUAACCCCCCUUUUUUUUUAUUCUUUCUAACAUAACUCACUAACACAACAUGUUUGCAACAUGUUUCCACCCAUAGCAUGGCCGGCCACUAUGCUUUAAUUUUGGGUAAUUUGACAUGCAAACCCAUCAUUUCACAACAUGCAUUAUUAGGCCACUUUACAUUUGCCUAGCACAUUUCCAAAUUUUCUCACAUAAGUCCUAUUUGAUAAAAUUCACUUACUAUUAACAAAAUUCAAACAUGAAAUUUUCACACAUGCAUAUGUACAUAUAAUAAGCAUCAACUAUGACGGUUAAUUAUCUUUAUAACUCGGUUUAGUGGUCCCGAAAUCAGUUUCCGACUAGGGUCACUUUAGGGGUGUUACACAUUACAACAGACCCAAGUGGAUCCAGGACAAAACGGGCCCAAUUGGCCCAGCUUGUUACACCAAGGCAUGAAACCCUAGGGUUUCUGCCUUUCUCCUUGCGCCGCAAACAGAAGGUUCCAGAAGCCAAGCCUCAUGACUCUUCAGCUCCUGCUGUUCCAACUACCCCGUCAAGGCCAUGAUUCCAGGCUCCAAGUCACGCCGAGAUCAACGCCACCAGUGGACCAUUGUCAGGCCUUUGCCAUUGCCUAAUUUUUCGCAAGUACCUGCAAGAAAAGGAAAGAAAAUCACAGCAGACAUGUGAAGCAAAUACGGAAAGAAAUCGAUGAUUUCUUUCCAAAACUUGUAGUAGUAGAGGCUAUAAAGCCUUCUUUUUAAUCUGUAAAAACACACGGCGGGAGAGAGACCCAAUAGCAGAAAUACACCCACACAAAAGCAGAGAGAAGAAUAGUAGGGAAUCAAAAAACAAAGAGUUUUUAGAAGCAAAGAGAAACAAAAAAAGAAGGUAUAGGGAUUUACCGAAUAGAAUAGCACGAACCAUUGUAAUCCUUUUGAAACAGCGAAAUAAAAAGCGAAUCUCGUUUUUCAAAGGUAAUCGAAUCGUUUUUUUUAAUUUUAUCUGGUCAUUUACUAACAUGCACACACGCAGAUCUAAAAAAAUAGAAACUAAAAACAGAGGGAGAAGGUUGAUACCUGAGAAUUGGCAAAGAAAAUGGAGGGUUUUUGAAACCCUAACCACCGUAUACAGUGGCUCUGGUGGCGGCUCAUUAAGCGCGUGGAGACCACGCACGCCAGACCCUGGGACGAGCCAGGACGGCCAUGAGGCCGGAGCUCCGAGGGUUGGAGCCCUUUUUUCAGAGGUUUUUUUUAUUUUUUUAAAAAGGAGUUACAGAAUGAUUUUAUUCGGGCAAAAUGGGAUUUAUAUGGGGUCCAAAAUCCGACCCGAUCCGAUCCGAAAGUCCGCGUGUUUUACCGCUAUAGUGGGACAUUUAUUCCCUUGGUCCUUCCGUAUUUUUAGAUUAUUUAAUUUCAUCUGAAACAAAUCUCGUCUUAUUUAAAAUUGGCCCAAAUCUUCUGUUUUCAUUAUAAUUUAGUCCUCUGUUCUUUAAAAAGCUAACCCUGAGAGCGACACCGUUUCAGGGACUAGGGUUAUUUACUCAGUGAGUCCCUGAGCUUUUAGCGUGCAUUCCAAAUUAAUCCAAAUUGUUUUUUAUUUUUUUUAAAAUUAGCCCUAAUAUUCUAUCUAGUUUUAAUUUUAAUCCUUACUUAUUAUCUAUUAUUUUAAUCCUUAAUUCAGUUUUAUUCCUUUCAAAAUUUGCCCCAUAAUUUUGUUAAACUUUAAAUUUAGUCCUAUAUUUAUUAUAUUAUUUCUAUAUAUAUAUUAUUUGUUUAUUUUAAUUUUACUUUUAUAUUAUAUAUUAUAAAAUUAUUUUAUUACAAGUAUUCUUUUUAAUUAUAUAUUAUUAUUACUUAUUAUAUAUAUAUAUUAUUUUCCUUAAAUUAUUAUUUUACAUCUCUUUCAUAUAUUAUUAUAUUUUCACAUAUAUUAUAUUUAUUAAUUACUUAUAUAUAUAUUGUUUAUACGUUACUUUAUAUUAUAUCUAUUAUUUUUCUUAUAUGUUUAUAUUACAUUUUAUUAUAUAAUCUUUAUUAUGUUUUAUUUUUAUAUUAUUUAUUGUUUUUUUAUAUAUAUAUGUUACGUAUAUCAUGUAUCACAAAUUAUAUUAUUUUAUAUCUCUAUUAUUUUAUGAUUAUUAUUAUUAAAUCAUAUUUUUUAACUCACAUUAUACACACAUUUCAUUUUUUAUUUAUUUACUAUAUAUGUAUUAUUUCAUUUUAAACUAAUAUUGUUAUAUUAUGAAAUCUCUUACAUACUUUCAAACCAAUAUAUUAUUAUAUAAUUAUUAUUCUUUUUAUUAUGUAAUUAUAUUAUAUAUUAGAUACUAUUUUAAAAUGGAAAUGAAAUAUCUCGUUUUUAAUUGUAUGUAUAUUUUGUUAGCAAUCAAUCAUUUUUUAUUAGUUCUUCUAUAUGUUUUGUAUUGUAUGUAUCAUGCAUGUGUUAAAUUUUUUAUAAUUAUAUGCAUAUUGACAUUACAUUUAUUCUAUUUGUAUAUCAUGAAUUAUUUGAUUAUGUUUGUUUUUAUAUCAUGCAUCAUUUAAAUAUUAUCUCAUAUGAUUAUAUAUCUUAUUUAUUCAUACUAUAUAUCUUUGUUUGCAUUUUUUUUGCUUUAUAUGUAUUAUUCUUUAUAUUGUAGUAUUCAUUUUUUAUUUACCUAGUACAAUAAUAUAUUAUUAUGAUUUAUAAUGCAAUACAAUUCUCCAUGCAUCAUUUUUAAAAAGACAAGUCUCCAAAAUUUUCAAAAAAUAUAAAGGCAAUACUUGGUGUUUGGAAAUUUCAAAAAGUAGUGCCCUAACUUAUUGGGUUGCAACUUUUCUCGUCAAGUUCGAAUAGUCAAGUACCCUUCUAAAGUUUUUAAAGGAUUUCAAAAUAUAAGUGACUGUCUUGGAAUUGCAAAGUGAUAUGUCCUAACUUACUGGAUGUAGCAUUCUGCUGUUUUGAGAUAGAGAUUUCUAAAGGCUAACCUAUAGUCGAUACUUUGAUACAAGUAAACCCAAAUUUUCAAAUACUUUAAAGAGGAUUACAUCUUAAAAUUUUUAAUUUCCGACAUUAGAGACAUUUUGAUAAUCAAUUAGGUACCAAUUUUUGGGCGUUACGAGGGUGCUAACCCUUCCUCGUGCGUAACCGACUCCCGAACCCAUUUUUUGAUUUCGUAGACCAAAACCAACAAUUUUAAAACAAAUGUUUAAAAGGUGAUCGAAUCACACCUAAAAAGAUUGGUGGCGACUCCCGUUUUCAUUUUUCUUAAAGUCGAUUCCCAUUUUCCAAAACUCGAUUUGAAAAUGGUUUCGACAGCUUGGCGACUCUACUGGGGACUAAUAAGAGAGUCAAGCCGUGUAAUUGAUUAUCUCUUGUCUUAAUGUCGGUAAUUAAAAAUUUUAAAAUUUAAUCUUCUUUGCAUUACAUGUGUUUGUGUUCUUGCAUGUGUUGCUAUAUUCUAAUACGCAUUGCAUUUGCAUGACUGUUGUGGUCACACCCUUAAGUGGGAGUGAGAAGCUACGCCUUCGUGAGGUUUUCGCCUCCGUGCAGGAUAGUGGAUCACUUUCGGGAUACAUCCGUACCUAUGGUUUCGUGAGAUUUUCAUCUCCAUGUAGCCAUAGGGAAAUGUGUCCCCCUGAACUGAACUCGAUUCAAAUGAGCCUAUAAUGGGUGAGGAUCGAGGAAUCUGCUGGUUCAGGUACCUCAACUUUAGAACUAAACCACAUAUAGAAGGAUCGUAAGAGCUCAACCUAGAUAGAAUUAUACCGUAAUUAUUACCCUUGUAGGUUAUCUUUGAGUUUAUUGUUAUCAUGUGAUACUAACUAUCUCCUUUCUUUUGUUGCAUAUCAUUUCGCAUUUAAAAGGUAUCGAUUUUCGGUCAGUUUCUAAGUUAGAGAGCUUUAUUAUGGAGAACGAUCUUCUUGAUAGAGUGGAAGACAACGCUAACGUCCAUAUAUGGUCAGAGCAAACUCAGUUAGUAAAGGAAAAUAGUCUAGCCAUGCGAUAUGUGUCAGAGCUGUCAGACUACAUUCGUAUCACAUAGGAUAAUCAGCAUGAGUUAAAGGAAAUAUGGGAUCAAUGGGGUAGCGAAGCCAAGCAGUUGUUCUACAACAACCAUUGGGACUUGCAGUACUUGCUUGACUUGGGAACAGACGAGAAUUUGUUUCGGGCUAUCACUCAGUAUUGGAAUCUUGUAUACAGUUGCUUUACAUUUGGAAAAGCCUAUAUGGUACCCGUGGUGGAGGAAUAUUCAAUUUUGUGGCGUUAUCCUAUGACUCAAGUUGAUAAAGUUUACUCAAGGGCUAACUAUAUUCCAACCUUUGUGAGGAAUUUGAUGAAUGUCAUAGGGAGAGGGAGUGAGCUAAAAUGGAAAGAGCAGGAGGGAAAAGGGGCAGUCUUGGAAUUCCUGCCUCUUCUGCCACUAGUGCGUCUUAAUGUUGUUUCCAAUCAAAGUAGAAUUGGAUACGAAGAAGAUUGUUCGAAACCCUAUGGCAAGGCGUGCUGCAGGGCAAAAGGUAAUGUACUCACCAAUCAUUUUAAGGUGAACAAGAAGAGUAUUGAUGGACAUUUCCACCAUUACAACAUUUCUCUUUCAUAGGGAUGGUCGAUGGUAAGAGUGUUGGAAGAAAAGUGAUUGACAGAAUGCGUGAACCUACAAAGGUGAGUUGGAUGGAAAGAAUUGUGCCUAUGAUGGUAAAAGGCUUAUUUAUUAUAGGACCAAACCAAGCAUGAGUUCACUAUGUUGCACUUAUCAGAGAUAAUGGAAAUGCAAGCCCUGAUGAUCUGUCAAAAUGGACGUAAAAGAAUGAGAUUAAAGAAGUCCAUAUCAUUUAAAAGACCUUUAAAGUAGAGAUUAACUAUGCUGAGAAGAUACCCAUCUAAGCAUUUCAAAAUGCUUUGCGUGGACAAGAAUCUGAAAGCUCUCAAGAAACCCUAAAUGUGUUGAAUAUCAUUUUAAGGUAGCAUGUUAAGCAGGAAUGCCCACUUGUUUUCCAAUCUUUCUUUCAAGAUAAUCAGAACAACUUCACAGAAGAGGUGUCCAUAGAUGUAGGGAUUAUCUUAUGGGUGAAGCCAUAGCUCAAAUUAGGGAUGGUAGUAGAUCAUUUACGGACCAUGAAGGUACAAGCUGAUACAUUGAGCACAGUCAGAUCAUUGUCAAGAGUUAGCUUUGUUGAGUUAAAACUUUGGGCCAUAGGACGAAGGCGUAUUUGUAAUCCAUUCAUAUGUAAAGAUAUUCUUUUUCUAAAUAAAGUUUUCUAAAUGAAAUUAAGUCGAGAUCGAUACCUUUUUGCAUUCAUGCAUUUGUAUUACAUCACAUCGCAUUAUAUGCAUUUAAAUUAUAAAAAGACCAUAAUUAGUUAAAGUUAUUAAAAAAGAAAGAAAAGGAGAGAGAGAGAGAAGAGGGUCAUGGCUAAGUGAAAAAGAGACGUUCCCUUACAUAUCCCUGACUUUUGUGUCAAGAGGGAUAGCUUACCCAGAGAAGGGGGUGUUUGGAAAUGAAAAUAAUCCCAUCAAUGUCAUACAUGAGGAAGGGACUGAACAAAGAAACCUUGAGGGCAUUCGCCCUUACGAACCAGGAAGUUCUUUAAACAGUUGGACUGCAGAAGAACUUCCUGUAAUCUUUAGGAAUUUUACGGAGUAAUAUUCAGAACACUCUUGUUGCUCUAAAGCCUAGGAGUAAUGAGAUUUCUUUUGAGAAGUGGGCUCAUGUUCAGACAUUUUUGUUUUCAAUAAAACAUACUUUUAUUAUUUAUCCGAGUAAAUAUUCUUCCAUUCUGAUUCUUUUGACCUUUGACAUUCUUUAUAAAUUUUCAUUUCAUGUAAAUAGUCAUUUUUGAAUUCAUUUAUUCCUUGUAUAUUCUUUUGUGUGCCUAUCAUAGAUCCCUAGAUAUCAAUGACAUGGGCAAUGAUACUAUAGAUUCAGAGUUCCUUUUGAGUGCGAUAUGUGUUUAGAAAAAUCUCAGUACUUUGAAGGUGACAGAAAUUGUGACUUGUUUUUGAAUUUGUUGAAAAUGGUUUUUACCCCAUGAAGUGGUGGUAGGAAAUAUAGCCUUAGAGGAAGGAAAGAUUGCGAAAUUGGAAUUAGCUGAGGAGACAAAACAAGACCUUGUUGAGACUAUUAUGGGAAUUCAAAAAAUAUGGUCUAAAGACGCAUGCAGGAGGAUUUGCAAUUGCCAGGAUAAACAUGAGGGUUUGGGGCACUGUUGGUCCACCAUGGAAAGGGAUUGCAUCAGUUGUACAAUGAAUGCCAAAUUUAAAGGAGUAAAGACUUAUGGGGCAUGUAUGUUAUGGGCCCGAGCUCAUCAAAAGUUUCAAGCUGACAAUGACUCAUCUUUGUAGAUGUUAACUACUCCAUUAAGAGGGGGAGAUAGCUUCAUAUGCCAAUAUUACAAAGUCAAAAGUCAUCUAUUUCAAAAAAAGAAGAAGCAAAAAGAUAAUAUAUAACUGCAUAAUGCCAAAAGUUUGCAGUCUUUUCAAAGAUAAUGCGCCAUACCACAGUACAACAAAGGUUGCCAAAAGAAAAGAAAAAGAAGAAAAAACAAAUUACAAAAGAUGACCGAGACUGGUAAAAAUUGGCAUAAGAAACUACCGCCUACUCUCUAUGCUUACGCUAGGGCAAACACCUUCAAUUCCAGUUGUUUCAAAGGUUCCAACCAUCAUCCUUGGAAUGGGUGCAUUGUUUGGCUUUCCUGAGCAGUCUGAUGUGCCGUCAAUAGCUGCGAUGGUUAGCUCCAGGCGGUGGCCAUUGAUUUUUAGCUAUGGGGCAUCUGGCCGUACACAGUCUCUGAAGCUUAAAAUGAUAGAUUCUUUCUUCAAAACCAGUUUCUGACAAAGUUGAUGACGGUAUCAUAAAGGAAGCUCUCUUAGACUUCUAUACAAGUUCAGAGAAGAGGAAACCUGAUCAAAUCAUUAUUUUCAGGGAGAGGGUUAGCGAGUCUCAAUUCAAUCAAGUUUUGAUCAAGUUAUUGAGGCUUGCAAGUUCCUUGGCGAGAAGUGGAACCCUAAAGAUUGUGGUUAUUAUUGUACGAAAAACCAUCAUACCAAAUUUUUUUUCAGCAGGGAUCUCCUGACAAUUUGCUACAUGGUACUGUCAUUGACAACAAAGUAUGCCAUCCAAAGAACAAUGAUUUUUACCUUGAUACCCAUGCUGGAAUGAUUGGAAUCACGAGGCAGACCCACUAUCAUGUUCUCUUAGACCAGGCUGGGUUUUCGGCUGAUGAUCUGCAAGAGUUUGUUCAUUCUCUAUCCUACAUGUAUCAAAUGAACACUACAGCCAUAUUUGUUGUGCCUCCUAUUUGCUACGCUCAUUUGGCAGCUUCACAGUUGGGGGCAAUUUAUGAAGAUUAGGGAUGCUUUAGAAACAUCAUCGAGUCAUGGUGGGAUGUAUGCUCCAGGAGUAAUCUCUGUACCUCAGCUUUCCAGGUUGAAGGAUAAAGUCAGCAAUUUCAUUCUUGUCUGCUGAGAAUCAUUGAACCAUAUUUUUGUAGGGUUUGACAAACAACAGCCAGGACGGCUGCUGGGGUAAUCCCUUUCUCAUGGGUUUAUGAAUCAAGAUUUUUCCUCCAAGCUUUGAUGGAGUCAAGAAUUGAAUACCUCUAGUAAACUUAACUUGAAAAUAUUCAUCCUAAGCAAAUGUACCAAGAAUGGAUGACACAGAUUUAUGACAAAGAAGGUUCGUCCAAAAGAAUCUCAUAAAGGAAACCUUGCAAAAGGAUGCCGAAUUGGGAAGGGCCAUAUGUUACGAAGAGGGCUUUCUCUAGAGGUGUAUUGAUUUUGACAAGAAAUGGAUAGGAAGAAUUUAUCUGAUCCAGUGAAUUCGGACUCAGUCAAAGAGUAUUUUGUUUGAAGGAGAAGAGAAGCCAAGGUGAAAACCCGCAAAGGGCACUUUGGGACUUCUAUUUCAAAAAAAAAAAGAAAAAGAAAAGAAAAAGAGAAAAAAGUAAAGAGAAAAAAGAAAAAGAUGGAGAGGCCAAGGUGAAAACCCGCAAAGGGCGCCUUGAGACCAAAGGGGUUUUGAGUAAAGGGCAGCUCAAAUUUGGAAAGUCAUGCAGUGACCUUGCUAUACCGGAUUCGACGAGAAGUGAAGUAUGUUACAUAUCGAGGCAUCAACGAAUUACUUUGGAUCUUUUAAACACAUGUUGAACUCAAGAAAGUCUUCAUGGAGCUGGUGUAUAGACGCUCAAGCGGCGAUAUCUGGGGCAUCUGAUUUUUUGUCCUGUUUACUAUCUUUGGAUUCUCUUUCUUCUCAAAGAUAGAUUCCUAGAUUAACCUCUUUUAUCUUUUUGAUAAAUCAUUAUCCUCAAGAUCAAUUUAUUCGUCCCAUUAUUCAUAAAGUGUGUUGCAUAGAAAUAAUGAUUGAUGAACUAAAUAUCUUUACAAACGAAGUUUUGCAUAUUACUCUGGAAAUUUCUAGAUAAUACAAGAAACUGAAACAAGUCAAUUGUUUAAAGAAUUUCCAUAUUUGAGGGUCGGAUGUACUCGGGGAAAUUUCUUCUUCAGUCCAAAAGGUGGUGGGACAUUUUAAAUUGAUCUUAAGAAAGGAUCAGUUCAUAAACAUCUCCAGCGGGUCACAACAUUUGGAGAAUGGCACAAUAGGACUAAGUUGAUUCAAAGCAUACAAGUAGAGUAUAAUUGAUACAUCAAGAAGUAUAAAGUUAAAACUUCGAUGAGGGAAUGAGUGAUGACGCUCGAAAUAAGGGUCAUAUUCAUAAUAUUUUGCAUUAUAACAUGACUAAUUAGGAGAAUUUGACUCACUUCGAUCAUAGGCAUGAACUCAUACGCAUUCUACAGGUUAUGUCUUUUAUUGGACAAUGUAGAUCAAAGAAACAAGAUUUGGCAUCCCUAUGUUUAUAGGGAACAGAUCAAAGAUAGUAGAUCUGACAUUCCUGUGUUUACAGUGAAGCAGAUUGAAGAUUUCAGCAUGGCAUCCCUGUGUUUAUAGGGAACAAGUUGAAGAUAGCAGAUUUGGCAUCCCUGUGUUUAUAGGGAACAGAUCGAAGAUAGCAGAUCUAACCUUCAGAUGUUUAUACUGAAGCAGAUCCAAGAUGAUUUGGCAUUCUUGUGUUUACAAGGAACAAAUCGAGGACAUAGUAGAUUUGACUCUCAGACGUUCUCAAAGAUAGCAGAUCUAACCUUCAGAUGUUUAUACUGAAGCAGAUCCAAGAUGAUUUGGCAUUCUUGUGUUUACAAGGAAUAAAUCGAGGACAUAGCAGAUUUGACUCUCAGGCGUUCUCAAAUAUAGUAGAUCUAACCUUCAAAUGUUUAUACUGAAGCAGAUCCAAGAUAAUUUGGUAUUCUUGUGUUUACAAGGAACAAAUCGAGGACAUAGCAGAUUUGACUCUCAGAUGUUCUCAAAUAUAACAGAUCUAACCUUCAGAUGUUUAUACUGAAGCAGAUCCAAGAUGAUUUGGUAUUCUUGUGUUUACAAGAAACAAAUCAAGGACAUAGCAGAUUUGACUCUCAGACGUUCUCAAAUAUAGCAGAUCUAACCUUCAGAUGUUUAUACUGAAGCAGAUCCAAGAUGGUUUGGCAUCCUUGUGCUUACAAGGAACAAAUCGAGGACAUUGCAGAUAUGACUCUCAAAUAUUCUCAAACAGACUCAAGAUGGUUUGGCAUCCUUGUGCUUACAAGGAACAAAUUGAGGAUAUUGCAGAUAUGACUCUCAAAUGUUCUCAAACAGACUCAAGAUGGUUUGGCAUCCUUGUGCUUACAAGGAACAAAGCGAGGACCUUGCAGACAUGACUUUCAAAUGUUCUCAAACAGACUCAAGAUGGUUUAGGCAUCCUUGUGCUUACAAAGGAAAAAAAUGAGGACGUAACAGAUAUGAUUCUCAAAAGUUCUCAAAUAGAUCAAGAUGAUUUGGCAUAUCUACAAAUCGAAGAAGCAAAUUUUGCGGGGAGCAGAUUGAAAAUUCAAGGUUCGGCGAGCCCGGGCAAAAUUGGCUCUUUUAUAUCUUUGCUUUAUUCCUGUUAUAUAGCAAUGAGCAAAGAGGUGCAGCUGUAAUACCUCAAUUUUGCCCAGCCCAUUGGAAGCCAAGGCAAAAUCCAAAAUUUCAAAAUAUAAAGUCUCUUAACAGUCUUUUACCCAACUACAAAAGCCUAAACGGCAGGCCCAAAUACAAGAGACCUUACCCAGUUACAAUAACCAGCAGGCCCACUAUUACAUCCUACCCAGAUACACUAAAACUAAGACCCAUUACAACAGGCCCAAGUAGACCCAGGACAAAACGGGCCCAAGUGGCCCAGCUUGUUACACCAAGGCAUGAAACCCUAGGGUUUCUGCCUUUCUCCUUGCGCCGCAAACAGAAGGUUCCAGAAGCCAAGCCUCAUGACUCUUCAGCUCCUACUGUUCCAGCUACCCCGUCAAGGCCAUGAUUCCAGGCCCCAAGUCACGCGAGAUCAACGCCACCAGUGGACCAUCGUCAGGCCUUUGCCAUUGCUGGAUUUUUCGCAAGUACCUGCAAGAAAAGGAAAGCAAAUCACAGUAGACAUGCGAAGCAAAUACGGAAAGAAAUUGAUGAUUUCUUUCCAAAACUUGUAGUAGUAGAGGCUAUAAAGCCUUCUUUUUAAUCUGUAAAAACACACGGCGGGAGAGAGACCCGAUAGCAGAAAUACACCCACACAAAAGCAGAGAGAAGAAUAGUAGGGAAUCAAAAAACAAAGAGUUUUUAGAAGCAAAGAGAAACAAAAAAAGAAGGUAUAGGGAUUUACCGAAUAGAAUAGCACGAACCAUUGUAAUCCUUUUGAAACAGCGAAAUAAAAAGCGAAUCUCGUUUUUCAAAGGUAAUCAAAUCGUUUUUUUAAUUUUAUCUGGUCAUUUACUAACAUGCACACACGCAGAUCUAAAAAAAUAGAAACUAAAAACAGAGGGAGAAGGUUGAUACUUGAGAAUCGGCAAAGAAAAGGGAGGGUUUUUGAAACCCUAACCACCGUAUACGGUGGCUCUGGUGGUGGCUCAUUAAGCGCGUGGAGACCACGCACGCCAGACCUUGGGACGAGCCA
This 23118-nucleotide long non-coding RNA is filed under the name Gossypium barbadense (sea-island cotton). RNAcentral's name for it is "long non-coding RNA (GBAR_LNC006976)". Lineage: Eukaryota; Viridiplantae; Streptophyta; Magnoliopsida; Malvales; Malvaceae. The record is from RNAcentral.